This 73-nucleotide transfer RNA is filed under the name Scleropages formosus (Asian bonytongue). RNAcentral's name for it is "tRNA-Arg". It matches the Rfam family "tRNA". Rfam says of the family: Transfer RNA (tRNA) molecules are approximately 80 nucleotides in length. Their secondary structure includes four short double-helical elements and three loops (D, anti-codon, and T loops). Lineage: Eukaryota; Metazoa; Chordata; Actinopteri; Osteoglossiformes; Osteoglossidae. The record is from RNAcentral.
GACUCUGUGGCGCAAUGGAGAGCGCGUUGGACUUCUAAUUCAAAGGUUGUGGGUUCGAGUCCCGCCAGAGUUG